CAUAUACAGAGUUGGAAAUGUACACAGGGUUGCAAAAGAAGUUGUAUGUCAUUCAUAUGUCAUUGUAAAUCUUUGAAGUCAGUACAUAGUCAAAAGAAGAAAUCAUUACAAGCAUUCAUUUCUAAUACAAAAGGUCUUUCAAAAUAGCCUAGGAUUUAUAAAAAGAAGAUCCUACAAGAUAUCCAUCAUCGGCGACGUUGCUCAUGGGCUCUACCAGCUGUAUUUUGUUCAUAAACCUUACAAGCUGCAUCUAUGAAUGCGUUGAUAGAAUCCAUGAGGGUCUUGAAUUGAUCUCCCUGUGACUUGUGGAAACCUGCCACAAGUGCUUCAAAUUCUAUGGUUGCCAUUUCAAUUCUUCCUCU
RNAcentral lists this long non-coding RNA (362 nucleotides) under Phoenix dactylifera (date palm). Its description in RNAcentral is "long non-coding RNA (PDAC_LNC023026)". Lineage: Eukaryota; Viridiplantae; Streptophyta; Magnoliopsida; Arecales; Arecaceae. The record is from RNAcentral.